CGUGACGGCCAAAGCGGCGAGGUCACACCUGGUCUCAUUCCGAACCCAGAAGUUAAGCUCGCCCACGUUCUCUGCAGUACUGUGGUGCGCGAGCCCACGGGAAGCUCAAGGCGACCUUCGGGG
RNAcentral lists this ribosomal RNA (123 nucleotides) under Methanobacteriota archaeon. The record is from RNAcentral. Lineage: Archaea; Methanobacteriati; Methanobacteriota.